UACAGAGGUCUCAAGCGUUGUUCGGAUUCAUUGGGCGUAAAGGGUGCGUAGGCGGCGCGGUAAGUCGGGUGUGAAAUCUCGGAGCUUAACUCCGAAACUGCAUUCGAUACUGUGGUGCUUGAGGACUGGAGAGGAGACUGGAAUUCAUGGUGUAGCAGUGAAAUGCGUAGAGAUCAUGAGGAAGACCAGUGGCGAAGGCGGGUCUCUGGACAGUUCCUGACACUGAGGCACGAAGGCCAGGGGAGCAAACGGG
Molecule: ribosomal RNA, 253 nt
Filed under: uncultured bacterium
Lineage: Bacteria
Description: partial 16S ribosomal RNA
Rfam family: Bacterial small subunit ribosomal RNA
Source: RNAcentral